Molecule: RNA transcript, 1346 nt
Organism: Hippoglossus stenolepis (Pacific halibut)
Lineage: Eukaryota; Metazoa; Chordata; Actinopteri; Pleuronectiformes; Pleuronectidae
Exons: 7
Source: RefSeq, a predicted model, not a curated record
CCUCCACAAACACUGAUAAAGUCUGUGAAGCUCCAGUCUGUCUCUCUCUCUGUCUAAUUGCCGCCAUGUUCCACUUGACCCAAGCUGCUCUGCUCGCUGUUCAUCUCGUAGUUAUGUGUCCGGUCCUCGCAGAGAUUUUACAGUUUUUUCCAGAUGACCACAGAGAUAUACUGGUGUCCAGCGGAGACUCUGUCACGUUCACUUGCAACACAACCACAAACAGAACAUCACAAAUCAACUGGACCAAAGGCAAAUUUUUUUUUUCUCACUCUGUGUCACUCAAUAAGACUGUUUCAAAUGUCACCUCUGACAGAGUGAGAAUAGACGUUGACUUUCCUUCAAAGCUGAAAAUUUCUAAUGCUCAGCAUGAAGACUCAGGACUAUAUCAAUGUGGGGUGACUGACAGAAAAGGUGCAUGGAGUAACAGGUGGAAUUUAACCGUGGCUGAGACACCUCCAGAAGUCCUGUCGUGGUAUUUUCUAUACACAAUUCUACGAGGAGUUGUGUUGCUCCUCUUUGGCAUCACUGCAGCUGUUUGCCUCCACAGAAAACUCAGGACCAGGACAUCAAAUCAGGACCCAGUCCAGAGCCAGCUUCAUCUUCAGUCAGGAGGAGAGGUGGUCAUCCCUCAAGCUCAGGCGGGCCCAGACAGAAGGACAAAUAACAAGCACAGGAGUCAGUACAGGGAAAGGCUCAACUCAAUCUAUGGUGUCUACUGAGUUAACAGGAAAUUCAACAGAAACACGAGACAGUUAUUUCAACUUCAAACCAGGUGCCACAAAAUAUGCAGGGCCGGGACCUCAAACAAGAGACGCUGUGACCACAGGACUCUGACUUUUACCCGGUUUCAUGUUAAGUUGGGAGGAGAGCACCUACAGGGGGCGCUUCCUCCUCAACCCCAAAGUUGUGCAGAAUACAGACUAAUUACAAGCGGUGGUCAAUAUGAACCAAUAGACCCAGUUCAAUGGCCUCUACUUGACUGAGAGGUAUGAAGAUCACAUUACAGCUGAAUAAGAAUACAGAGAGAUUUUGUACAGAUAUCACAAGAGAGAUGACAUUUUGUUUAUGAUGAUGUAUAAAAAUAAAUGAAUCCACAAAAUGUUCACAGAGGCCAAGCUUAAUGAGAUAUGUAUAUAUAUGUAUAUAGAUAUGUAUAUAUAUAUAUGUUGUAAAAAAUAUCCUAAAGCAAUGUUUCACAUUAUUCUAUGGUAACCAGGCAGCUCAUGUCAGCUUUCUGUAGCUGGGCAUGUGACCAUUACAUGCAUGAUAUACAAUAUUUCUACUCUGAUAUUCUGACAUUACUGACAAUAAUCCAUCAAUUAAUUUACCUUCCAUUAUGCUACAAA